RNAcentral lists this long non-coding RNA (987 nucleotides) under Cicer arietinum (chickpea). RNAcentral's name for it is "long non-coding RNA (CARI_LNC000116)". The record is from RNAcentral. Lineage: Eukaryota; Viridiplantae; Streptophyta; Magnoliopsida; Fabales; Fabaceae.
UUUUGUCUCCUGAAUCUCUACUAUAACCAAACAUCCGUAUUUUUCUUCAUUCUCAAUGUUUUCUAAAAAUUUCAUCAUGUCCCAAAAUAUUUAAAGCUAUAUAUGGUGAUGUUUCUGACUCCAUGCAGAACUCUUCUACUUCUUCACCUUAAAAAAUUCUACUAACAAAUUUGAGGGUGCUUUUUUUCCUAUAUAGAGUCACAUACCCUUCGUACUUCGACGUCCAAGAUCAAUUACAAAUAUGGCCUUCCAAUAUAUCACUCGCAAUUCGUCACAAUCGAGGGCAGGCCAAUCUAAAUUAUGAUAUGAUCAUGCUAUCGACCCAAGAUAUCCCUCCAAUAUGGAACUCUUCUUCGACUUCCUUAAUUAUUAAUUACUUCGAGAGGAGAAGCUCCAUCAUCUUAUGCAAUCUCCAUUUUUUAGUACAUAUUUUUUAGGAGGUACUAAAAUUUUAUAGCAAUAUAUAUAGAGUAUGGUUUAAAUAUUUAAAUAAAAUUCUAUGCCAAAGUUAAUGACCUUGUCAAUAAUUCAUAGCACAACACAUUCUUGCUGCAUUGGUGCAACCCAAGUAUUUUACUUGGACUAUUAUGUUGUAGUGGUUCAAGAACUCUAUAUAAAUCAUGAAGGGUCACUUUUGGGAUUUUCUUUUCCUUCUUCUCUAUCCAUCCCUACUUUCAAAUUUUGAUCAGCUAGCCCACUUUUGUUUAUGCAACUUUGUAUCAUGCUUUAUUUUCGAUAUAGUUUUUAUUUAGGUUUGGUCCUCGUUCUCUACAGCAUGAUGUUCACUUACUUAAAAAUGCAAGGAAGAACAACAUGCGUGUGGUAAGAUUCCUAUUGCCACUCAUCUAGACAACACUGUCACUUGUAAGGAUAUAAAUUAAGUUGAUUUAGUGGUUAGUUAGGAAGUGAAGUGAUAGGAAGUAGAUAAUUUUAUCUCUCUUUCAAUAAAAUACUAACAAUAUUAAAUAGUAACAUUGACAAUUCAAC